AUAUCAACUAAUUACAAUUAAUGAAAAAUGAAUUAAUGAAAAUGUAACAAAUUUCAUUAUCCAAUAAUUUCAUUUAUUUUAUAUAAAGAAUUUCUACUAUUGGUCAAUUAUAGUUAUUUAUUAAGAAAUGUUGGCAUGACUAAAUAAGUCUUAAAGAAAUUCCCGCCAAUUCAUACAUACUUUUUAGUUUAAGCUUAAAGUAGGAAGAAAGAAGAAUUAUUCUUAUUAAUGUUAUAAGUAUUUUUAUUUACGGACUCGUUUGAUUGCCGCGAUAUUUCGAUACAAUGGAUUCUAGUCCAGCACGUUCUGAUAGACAUACAGAAGCAAUGACAUCUCCUGCACCAGAAAUAGAUGAACCAUUUGAAGAUGAAUCUGAUUUACUUGGCAAUGACAAUGAUGUUAAUCAGGAAGAAGAAGAAGAAGAAGGGGAGGAAUUAUUUGGAGAUAAUAUGGAAGCUGAUUAUCGUCCUAUGCCAGAAUUAGAUAGAUAUGAUCCAGAUGUAGUAGAUGAUGAGGAUUAUUCAGAAAUGUCUCAAGGAGAACGUGCAGCUGCUGAAGCUGCUAUGCGUAAAAGAGAUCGGGCAGCAGGCAUUAUCAGAGAUGAUAGAUAUUUACUUUAUGAUGAAAGUGAUGAAGAAGAAAUGCAAGCUCGUAAAAGACGUAUAGCUGAAAAAGCAGCAAUAGGUGAAAUUGAAGACACAGAAAUGAUUGAAUCUAUUGAAAAUUUAGAAGAUACCAAAGGUCAUUCAGUUAAAGAAUGGGUGUCUAUGUUAGGACCUAAAACUGAAAUUUCUAAUCGUUUUAAAAGCUUUCUUCGUACACAUACCAAUUCAAAAGGACAGUAUAUGUAUAAAGAACGAAUUCGUCAUAUGUGCGAGAGUAAUCAAUCUAGCUUUAUUGUGGAAUUCCCUAUACUUGCUAGUAAAGAGCAUGUAUUGGCAUAUUUUUUACCAGAAGCACCGUUUCAAAUGUUAGAAAUAUUUGAUGAAGUAGCAAAAGAAUUGGUAUUAACUAUAUUUCCUAGUUAUGAAAGAGUUACAAGUGAGAUUCAUGUUAGAAUAUCAGAAUUACCAUUAAUAGAAGAAAUUCGUACAUUUAGGAAAUUACAUUUGAAUCAACUAGUCCGUACUCUAGGAGUUGUUACUGCAACCACAGGAGUAUUACCACAAUUGUCUGUUGUAAAAUAUGAUUGUACAAAAUGUGGAUAUAUACUUGGUCCUUUUGUACAAAAUCAAAAUACUGAAGUUAAACCUGGUUCAUGUCCUGAAUGUCAAAGCAUUGGACCUUUCAUGAUUAAUAUGGAGCAAACAAUAUAUAGAAAUUAUCAAAAAAUUACAAUUCAAGAAUCACCAGGCAAAAUUCCUGCAGGAAGAAUUCCUAGAAGUAAAGAAUGUAUUCUUUUAUCAGAUCUCUGUGAUCGUUGUAAACCCGGGGAUGAAGUAGAUGUUACAGCUAUUUAUACGAAUAAUUAUGAUGGUUCUUUGAAUACAGAACAAGGUUUUCCAGUAUUUGCAACGGUUCUUCUUGCUAAUCAUUUACAAGUAAAAGAUUCUAAAGAAAUUGUAGAAUCUUUGACUGAAGAAGAUGUUUCUAGUAUUAUUGGUUUAAGCAAAGAUCAUCAAAUUACUGAUCGCAUUAUUGCAAGUAUUGCCCCUUCAAUUUAUGGUCAUGAAUAUACAAAGAGAGCUUUAGCAUUAGCAAUAUUUGGAGGAGAGCCAAAAAAUCCUGGUAAUAAGCAUAAAGUCAGAGGAGAUAUCAAUGUGUUAUUAUGUGGAGAUCCAGGAACAGCUAAAUCUCAAUUUUUAAAAUAUGUUGAAAAAAUUGCACCAAGAUCAGUAUUUACAACAGGUCAGGGAGCUUCGGCCGUAGGAUUAACUGCUUUUGUAAGAAAAUCACCAACCACUCGUGAGUGGACAUUAGAAGCUGGUGCCCUAGUUCUUGCUGAUCAUGGAAUUUGUCUUAUUGAUGAAUUUGAUAAGAUGAAUGAUCAAGAUAGAACAUCUAUUCAUGAAGCUAUGGAACAACAAAGUAUUUCCAUUUCAAAAGUUGGAAUUGUUACAUCACUUAAUGCUAGAUGUUCAGUAAUAGCUGCAUCUAAUCCCAUUGGAGGAAGAUAUGAUGCUAGUAUGACAUUUUCAGAAAAUGUAGAUUUAUCAGAACCAAUUUUAUCUCGUUUUGAUAUUCUUUGUGUGGUAAAAGAUGAAAUAGAUCCUAUGCAAGAUCGACAUUUGGCAAAAUUUGUUGUAAACUCUCAUAUAAAACAUCAUCCAACAAAUGCAGGAAAAGUAAUAUCUACUAUAGAUAAUACACAUGAUAUAUCUAUUCCACAAGAUCUUUUAAAAAAAUAUAUAGUUUAUGCACGACAAAAUAUUCAUCCUAAAUUAACGAAUAUUGAUCAAGAUAAAGUAGCAAAAUUAUACAGUCAAUUAAGACAAGAAAGUUUGCUUACCAAUUACCGUACGACACAUAGAAAGUAUUAUACGUAUGGCAGAAGCAAGUGCUAAAAUGCAUUUGCGUGAUCAUGUUCAAGAAACUGAUAUCAAUCUUGCCAUUAGAAUGAUGCUUGAUAGUUUUGUUGAUACACAAAAAUAUUCAGUAAUGAAAAGUAUGCGCCAAACCUUCCAAAAAUAUCUAUCAUUCCAGAAAAAUCAUACUGAACUUCUAUAUUAUAUACUUAGACAGCUUACAUUAGAUACUUUAGCAUUUCAAAAAGCUAUUCGCGGAAAUCGUAUUACAACAAUUGAAAUUUCAGAAAAAGAUUUAUUAGAUCGGGCUAAACAAAUCGAUAUACACAAUCUUCAACCAUUUUAUGAAAGUGAUAUUUUCAAAUCAAAUAAUUUUAUUUAUGAUUCAAAAAGAAAAGUAAUAAUACAAACACUUCCUGAAACUAUUGAUGAUUGAAGAAACACUAAAAAUAAUUAGGAAUGCAAUUAUAAUUUUAUUUACAACAUGAUAUUGUUCAUCAUAUUAACAUAAUUUUUACAAUGAAUUAUAUUUUGAUAUAUUAGUUCA
Molecule: unclassified non-coding RNA, 3012 nt
Filed under: Apis florea (little honeybee)
Lineage: Eukaryota; Metazoa; Arthropoda; Insecta; Hymenoptera; Apidae
Description: dNA replication licensing factor Mcm2, transcript variant X1
Source: RNAcentral